GUACAUUACUAUAUUAUUGCAAAAGACCCGGGCAACGCACGGACAGUAAACUAGUUUUCAGUAUAAACCCUCAGCUUUCAUCUCCAAUCUACUAAAUUUCGACCGCCAAAAAUGGCUGAAGAUAAAGUGUCACUGGAUUUGACUGAAGAAACUCUUCAGAGCAUGGAAGUCGGUAUGGCUUUUCGCGAUUAUAGUGGAAGAAUCAGUUCAAUGGACUUCCAUAAGACCUCAAGCUACUUGGUCACUGCUAGUGAUGAUGAAUCGAUCCGCUUGUAUGAUGUUGCCAACGCCACAUGUUUGAAAACAAUCAAUAGCAAGAAGUAUGGGGUUGAGCUCGUGUGCUUUACUUCUCAUCCAACAACAGUUAUCUACUCGUCAAAGAAUGGCUGGGAUGAGUCACUGCGGCUUCUCUCCUUGAAUGACAACAAAUAUUUGCGGUAUUUUAAAGGGCAUCAUGAUAGGGUAGUAUCUCUUAGCUUGUGUGCACGCAAUGAAUUAUUUAUAUCAGGUUCUCUGGACCGGACUGUUCUGCUAUGGGAUCAACGGGCUGAGAAAUGUCAGGGUCUUCUACGUGUCCAAGGAAGGCCUGCAACAGCUUAUGAUGAUCAAGGUUUAGUCUUUGCAAUUGCUUCUGGAGGAUAUAUAAGAAUGUUUGAUGCUCGUAAGUAUGAUAAGGGCCCUUUUGACAUAUAUUCUGUUGGGGGAGACUUCUCUGAUGCCAAUGUAGUCAAAUUCAGCAAUGACAGUAGGCUUAUGCUUUUAACAUCAACCAGUGGAUUUAUUCAUGUGCUGGAUGCAUUUCGUGGCACCCUUCUGUGCUCAUACAAUGUAAAACCAGUAUCUACCAAUUCGACCCUGGAGGCUUCAUUUAGCCCUGAGGGAAUGUUUGUCAUAUCAGGUUCAGGGGAUGGCAGUGUAUAUGCUUGGAGUGUCCGCAGCGGCAAAGAGGUGACAAGUUGGAUGAGUACUGAAAGAGAGUCUCCUGUCAUCAAAUGGGCACCAGGAAACGUCAUGUUUGCCACUGGAUCUUCUGAACUUUCUUUCUGGGUUCCUGAUUUGUCUAAACUGGGAACUUAUGGGGGAAGAAAAUAGCCAUGAGACAAAAUGCCUCUACAUGGAGAAAAUGGUCAUGAGACUACCCGUAAAAUGGAACUUAUGUUGGAAGACAACCAUGAGUGGAAUGGUCAAAGUUAAGGCCUUAUGCUUAUUAGACAUGCACCUUGUCUUGUCUACUCGAAAAGCAGCUUUCAGCAUAAAUCAUGAUUGAAUCUUGCCUUGUGUCCUUGCUCUGUAGUGAUUCUGCUUCAGCAACUUGUAUUUGGGACGCUCAGAUAGUCAGAUAGCAUCCUUUUGAAUCUUCUUGAGAGGGAGGUGAUGAUCGAUACUUUGGUUGCAUGCUGUUGGACUCCUGUCACUGCAGGAAGAAAUGUCCUUUCAUCCAUUCAGACCACUUCUCGGAAAGUUGGAGUUGACUCGUAUGUAACCCGUUGACUUGCACACGUGGCCAUCGGAAACCGACACGUAGCAAUUGCCUUGUUUUAAAAAAAAAAAUCCCAAACUUCCAUCCAAAAUCAAACUGCCCCAUUUCUUAACCUAAACCCAAAAAAAGAACUUGCGACCUUCUCUCUCCUCUACUAUCUUCCUCCUAGACGCCAUUAAUGCUUGGAAGGUGAAUCAUCAUCAAGUUUGCAAUAAGUUCAGCGAAUUGAUUCCCAGAAGGGUCAAAGAAAGGGUAAGAAGAAGGACGAAAGCAAAGACGUCAUUUUUUCUUUGAGGAGAGAAUAAACAAAACAAGGUUUAACGGUAGGAUCCCGGUAGAUUACCCCGUUUAUAAAUUGAUGGAACCGAUUAAUAUUAGGUUGUAUCACGGGGGUCGAUUUGUUACUAGGAAUGGUAAAACAACAUAUGAGAAAGGGGAUAGUGAGAAAUAUGGGUUGUCGUUGCACCCUAAUGUUAGUGAAGUGUGUUGCUUUGAGUUUGUUGGUUGGGUGAAGGGGGUUUAGGUUACGAGGAGGCUGGUCAGCUUUGGUAUCGGGAGUAUGGGCAUAGCUUGUUUAGUGGUAGGAAAGAGCUUAAGGAUGAUAACGAUAUUCCUGAAUUCUUGUUUUCUAGGGAACAAGAUGGGUGGUACCACUUGUAUGUUGUGCAUGAGCCUGUAAAACCCAAAAUGACUAGGUAUGGACCAAAUUUUGGGGGAGUGUAUACAGAUUCAGAAUCUGAUGGGGGGUCCUCAUUGGGUAGUUUCAUUAGUGUCUCAAAUGUUGGGGGUGAGUCAUCACAAAGGAGUUCUGCUAAUAAUGAGAGUGGUGAGUCAUCAAACCCUAGAUCUAAUUCCUCCAACCACAAAACACACUCCACACUUACUCCUCAAACACAUUCUGCUGCACUUCCUCCCUCACAAAAAAACCCUGUUGUCCUUAAUCCUCCACAAACCAACCCAGAAAAUAUCAACAACAACAACCACAUUUCUUUCUCAUCAAACACAGCUGCUUACAGGGAAAGAACACCUGUUUCUCUUGAACCUAUAGAAGAACAGGAAGAGUUUGAGUUCAGUGCAGAGAAGGGGCAGUGUGAGGAAGACAGUGAGGAAGACAAUGAUGUGGUCUUGAGUGAGGGAGAUUUUGAGGAUGACAGUAAUGAUGACUUGUUCACUGAUAAAUGGGCCUUGAUGUUUCUGAGAUUGUGGGUAGGAGUUUAGAGGGGGUUGAUAAUGUCUUUUGUUGUAAAGAUGAUUGAGAGGGAACAGAAGGAGGUUAGUAACAUGAGGUUGAUUCAAGCAGACUUGCAUGAGUUUGAGGUAGAUUAUGAUGGGGAUAGUUUUGUUGUGAAUUUGGAGACAAAAACUUGUGGAUGUUAUAGGUGGGACUUAAUGGGAAUACCUUGUUGGCAUGCACUAGCUUGUAUAGCCUAACGGAGGUUGAACUACGAAUAAUUUGUGCAUCCAUCAUACCAUGUGAAGACAUAUGCUGCAACCUAUGCACCCCACUUCUCCCCUAUGCCAGGAGAGAAACAGUGGGAGAAAUCACCCCUGCCACAACCACUGCCUCCACCCUUCAGAAUAAUGCCUGGAAGGCCUUCACAAAGAAAGAGAAAGAAGGAGGUUGGUGAAAAAAAAGGGGAAGCAGGUGAAAAGAGCAAGGAAGCGAAACAAUUGUGGGAGGUGUGGAGGUUUGGGACACAACAGAAAAAACUGCCAGAGGCCAGCUAAGCCUGUGCAAACUGCUUCUAAACCUAAGGGCAGGCCUAAAUCAGCAAAUACUUCAGCCACCACAGCAGUUCCAUCAGCUUCUGCUCCACAGCAACAACCAAGAGCAAGAACCACUGCCACCCCUGCAGCACAGUUAGCUCCAAGCUUAGCUCCAAAUUCAGCUCCAAAGCCUGCAAA
RNA transcript from Spinacia oleracea (spinach), 3385 nucleotides. It is a transcript of the gene named protein ANTHESIS POMOTING FACTOR 1, with no coding region annotated. Lineage: Eukaryota; Viridiplantae; Streptophyta; Magnoliopsida; Caryophyllales; Amaranthaceae. The transcript has 14 exons. The record is from RefSeq and is a predicted model, not a curated record.